Molecule: ribosomal RNA, 870 nt
Filed under: uncultured bacterium
Lineage: Bacteria
Description: bacterial SSU rRNA
Rfam family: Bacterial small subunit ribosomal RNA
Source: RNAcentral
ACAGAAGGGAGCUUGCUCCCGGAUGUUAGCGGCGGACGGGUGAGGAACACGUGGGUAACCUGCCUGUAAGACUGGGAUAACUCCGGGAAACCGGAGCUAAUACCGGAUAGUUCCUUGAACCGCAUGGUUCAAGGAUGAAAGACGGUUUCGGCUUCACUUACAGAUGGACCCGCGGCGCAUUAGCUAGUUGGUGGGGUAAUGGCUCACCAAGGCGACGAUGCGUAGCCGACCUGAGAGGGUGAUCGGCCACACUGGGACUGAGACACGGCCCAGACUCCUACGGGAGGCAGCAGUAGGGAAUCUUCCGCAAUGGACGAAAGUCUGACGGAGCAACGCCGCGUGAGUGAUGAAGGUUUUCGGAUCGUAAAGCUCUGUUGUUAGGGAAGAACAAGUCCGAGAGUAACUGCUCGCACCUUGACGGUACCUAACCAGAAAGCCACGGCUAACUACGUGCCAGCAGCCGCGGUAAUACGUAGGUGGCAAGCGUUGUCCGGAAUUAUUGGGCGUAAAGGGCUCGCAGGCGGUUUCUUAAGUCUGAUGUGAAAGCCCCCGGCUCAACCGGGGAGGGUCAUUGGAAACUGGGAAACUUGAGUGCAGAAGAGGAGAGUGGAAUUCCACGUGUAGCGGUGAAAUGCGUAGAGAUGUGGGAGGACACCAGUGGCGAAGGCGACUCUCUGGUCUGUAACUGACGCUGAGGAGCGAAAGCGUGGGGGAGGCGAACAGGAUUAGAAUACCCUGGUAGUCCACGGCGUAAACGAUGAGUGCUAAGUGGUUAGGGUUUCGGCCCUUUAGUGGCUGGCAGCUUACGCAUUAAGCACUUCGCUGGGAGUACGGUCGCAAGACUUGAACUCAAAGGAUUUGACCGGGGGC